This 173-nucleotide non-coding RNA is filed under the name bovine gut metagenome. RNAcentral describes it as "Lysine riboswitch". It matches the Rfam family "Lysine riboswitch aptamer". Rfam says of the family: Riboswitches are metabolite binding domains within certain messenger RNAs that serve as precision sensors for their corresponding targets. The record is from RNAcentral.
GCAGGAGAGGUGCGGCUUUCAUCAGUACCUUCGGAGCGGGACCGCGGCGGUCCGGGUGCUCCGGGGGAAAGGGGACGCCGCCGAAGAAUCGGGCUGUGCCGCCGCCCGGCUCUGGGCGUCAGGUCAACAGCCUGCCGACUGUCAUCUGAGCCAUUCAGAUGGAGCGCUGUCUG